AUUAGUAAGUAGAGAACCCAGGGUAUUCAAUAUGGCAUAUGUCCAGUCUUUUUUAGUAGCCACUUAGUCACAAACAUUGGCCAAAGUUAGCAUUUAUAUUUAUUUGUGUUUUAAAAAUGCAAAAAAAUAUUAUAAACGCUAACUUUGGCCAGUGUUUGUGACUAAGUGACUACUAAAAAAGACUGAACAUACCCCAUUUGCAAUACCUUGGGCUGUCUUCUUUUGCAAAU
Molecule: microRNA precursor, 230 nt
Filed under: Pelobates cultripes (western spadefoot toad)
Lineage: Eukaryota; Metazoa; Chordata; Amphibia; Anura; Pelobatidae
Source: RNAcentral